Molecule: unclassified non-coding RNA, 425 nt
Filed under: soil metagenome
Description: partial contains 5.8S ribosomal RNA, internal transcribed spacer 2, and large subunit ribosomal RNA
Rfam family: 5.8S ribosomal RNA (bases 1-120)
Source: RNAcentral
GAUGAAGAACGCAGCGAAAUGCGAUAAGUAGUGUGAAUUGCAGAAUUCCGUGAAUCAUCGAAUCUUUGAACGCACAUUGCGCCUUCUGGUAUUCCGGAAGGCAUGCCUGUUCGAGAGUCAUUAACAACCGUUUCGAUCCCUUUCUUUCAGAAAUUACAAAGAGGAAAAGGGUUUGGUUAUGGUGGUGGAGGGAAAGGGAGCGUUUAGCCUGUAAAAAAAGAGGCUGUGUUCCGCCUCCCCCCCAAAAUUGUACAGGCGGUCGUGUGCGCCCACGCAUCGAGGUGUUGUAAAAGCUGCCACGGCACUUUUCACCUGUGCAGUGCGAGAUUGGCCAGCCGGUUUAAAAACCCCUCCAAACAAUCAAAGGUUGACCUCGGAUCAGGUAGGGAUACCCGCUGAACUUAAGCAUAUCAAUAAGCGGAGGA